This 302-nucleotide unclassified non-coding RNA is filed under the name fungal sp. RNAcentral describes it as "partial contains 5.8S ribosomal RNA, internal transcribed spacer 2, and large subunit ribosomal RNA". The stretch from base 1 to 71 matches the Rfam family "5.8S ribosomal RNA", at positions 84 to 154 of the family's 154-position model. Lineage: Eukaryota; Fungi. The record is from RNAcentral.
GUGAAUCAUCGAAUCUUUGAACGCACAUUGCGCCCGCCAGUAUUCUGGCGGGCAUGCCUGUUCGAGCGUCAUUUCAACCCUCAAGCCCCCCGUGGACUUGGUGUUGGGGACCGGCGACAAUCUGUCGCCGCCCCCUAAAUGAAUUGGCGGCCCCGUCGCGGCCCUCCUCUGCGUAGUAGCUAACACCUCGCAACAGGAGCCCGGCGGCGGCCACUGCCGUAAAACACCCCAAACUUUUUUAGAGUUGACCUCGAAUCAGGUAGGAAUACCCGCUGAACUUAAGCAUAUCAAUAAGCGGAGGA